This 465-nucleotide ribosomal RNA is filed under the name Vreelandella stevensii. RNAcentral describes it as "partial 16S ribosomal RNA". It matches the Rfam family "Bacterial small subunit ribosomal RNA", at positions 338 to 795 of the family's 1533-position model. Lineage: Bacteria; Pseudomonadati; Pseudomonadota; Gammaproteobacteria; Oceanospirillales; Halomonadaceae. The record is from RNAcentral.
CCUACGGGUGGCAGCAGUGGGGAAUAUUGGACAAUGGGGGCAACCCUGAUCCAACCAUGCCGCGUGUGUGAAGAAGGCCCUCGGGUUGUAAAGCACUUUCAGUGAGGAAGAACGCCUGGUGGUUAAUACCCAUCAGGAAAGACAUCACUCACAGAAGAAGCACCGGCUAACUCCGUGCCAGCAGCCGCGGUAAUACGGAGGGUGCGAGCGUUAAUCGGAAUUACUGGGCGUAAAGCGCGCGUAGGUGGCUUGAUAAGCCGGUUGUGAAAGCCCCGGGCUCAACCUGGGAACGGCAUCCGGAACUGUCAAGCUAGAGUGCAGGAGAGGAAGGUAGAAUUCCCGGUGUAGCGGUGAAAUGCGUAGAGAUCGGGAGGAAUACCAGUGGCGAAGGCGGCCUUCUGGACUGACACUGACACUGAGGUGCGAAAGCGUGGGUAGCAAACAGGAUUAGAUACCCUGGUAGUC